Molecule: long non-coding RNA, 2566 nt
Organism: Piliocolobus tephrosceles (Ugandan red Colobus)
Lineage: Eukaryota; Metazoa; Chordata; Mammalia; Primates; Cercopithecidae
Source: Ensembl
CCUAUUUCUUUGUAUGCCACAUCUGCCUAUUUGCCUAAUCCUGCACUACCGAUUCAACUACGAUUUGGGGACUGGUUUUACCUGAAAAGCAACUAACUCAACUUUCAAAGACUUCCUGGAUCUGAUGACAAUGACACUGCAUUUCAAUUUAGAAUCCUUUCUGCCAUAUCUCUAAGCAUUUUCUAACUAAAGAACCAAUCUCUCUUAAAUAAUAUCUUCCGUUGCCUCCCACCCACAAUUCUUUCCCUUCUGAGCCCCUGUGGAGGGGGAUGGUGUCCUGCAAAGCCUAACUGCCCACACUGCUAUCUGAGCAUCUGUCCACCCCCGUAGUGGUCAUUCAACCUGUGCGGCUGCUACUGUUGCCAGUGUAACACAUGAUGUUGCCUGGGAAGCAAUGCUGGGAGCCCUCUUGUAGUGGCUGGAACAAUAUUCCCAACAUAUGUUCCCACGGCCAGAACAAUGCUGAGGCUCCUUCCAAUUCUUCUUCUCCCUCCGCGGGUUUGGUGAUUGCUCUUUGUGGGGCCUGAGUCACAGAUGGAGACAGUGUUCUCUGCCCUCACCGCCAGGAUGCCUAAGGCAUCUGCAUAUGGUGAAUCCUCCAGCCAGGAUAUUUACAAAAGCCAAAGAGAGGCAUUUUUCUCCUUCAGAACUGACAAUGGUAAGAUGUUGUGCUAAUACAUUCCAUAGGAUUUCUGGAUGCUGGACUAUUACAUUCAGGUUACAAUUUGGGGACGGAUUUGUUAUUUCUAUUGCAAAUGGACUACACUAUAAACACAAAAAGAUUCCUGCCACAGCAUCCAAAUACCCCUAAUACAGAAAGAGAAUCACUCAGAAAGGACAAAGCUGGCAGACUGAGAAAGGAGGCAAGAGUAAACUCUGGCACUGGCCAAUUAUCUAAAACAAGAAUAGCAGCCUCUGUUAUCAAAGUUGCCAGUUAAAAUUGUCAGCUGUCAGGCACAGUGACACACACCUGUAAUCCCAACAUUUUGGGAGGCCAAGGUGGGUGGAUCGCUUGAGCCCAGGAGUUUGAGACAAGCCUGGGCAACACACAGAAACUCCAUCUCUACAAAAAGUACAAAACUUAGCCAGGUGUGGUGGUGUGCGCCUGUAGUCCCAGCUGCUCAGGAGGGUAAGGUGGGAGGAACGCUUGAGGCCAGGAGGUAGGGGUUCUGUGAACCAUGAUCAUGCCACUGCACUCCAGCCUGGGUGAGAAAGGGAGACCCUGUCCAAAAAAACAAAAAGUUGCUAGCUCUCUUCUCUAUAAAGAGUCUCUAGAUUGGUUUGCAUCAUGCCCUUUGAUGCACCAGAUAUGUUUAACCAACCUAGUUUUGUUGAUUCUGACAAUCUCACACAUUUAAGAAUUUACCAUUUUUCAGGCACUUUUCAACGUUAAAAAAAAUUAAAUCCAGUUAUUGAAAAUCAGUUUGACAAACAACCCCCACUCCAUAGCCCUGGCCGAAAAAAAAUAAGCAGCUAAUUCGGUGAUACGAUCUCUGUAAGGCGGCAAAUUCCUUCAAUUUUCCAAGGAAAUAGCAUAUAUAUUUUCUUCCAUCUUAACUCCAAAUUUGGGACCUCUUCCUCUGGUAACACAGUAUUUUAGGUUACUUGAAAUCAGCCCCCAUUUAAAAGACUCUUUGUGGCACCAAGCUUAAAGCAUUUACUGACAGAGGACAUCGCCACUAUUAACAUUCUUGUUACAAAAAUUCAGUUUCAGUUGAGUUCCUGUAAUCCCCUGAGCACUUAUAAAUGCCUUUUACCUAUAAUGAGGCAGUAGGCUAUGUGUAAAACAAAGCAAAUGAACUGUUCAAAUAUAUGUAAAUCUGUAAUUAUACUAACAUGAACUACACUGAUAGAAGACAGUGUUUUUUCUCUGAAGUGUUUAGAGUUUCAAAAGAAAAGGACACAAUAUUAAGAAAUUUCUACUAGAUGAUUAAAAAUGAUUUUGGUUGGUUGCCAUUCCCAGGUUUUCCCAGAGUUCUCAUCUAUGUCCUAUACAAUGUGUAAAUUAAAAUGUACAUGACCAAUUGAUGUACUACAAUACAUCAGAUAUCAAUAUAUACACGUGAAUUAAAGUUCCUUAAAUAUACACAUCCCCACUUAGGAUAUAUCCUAUUACAUAGGCAAAGCAUCAUCCUUUAAUAAUAGGUCCAAGAUAGCAGCAAUUUGAUAUUCUAUUACCCAGUUACCUCAGAAAAUAUCAUAGAUCCUGAAUAUUUCCUGAUAAGGUAUCCCUGGCUUCAAAAACUCUACAGUAACAUUUAGCAUAGGUCUCAUGAAGCACCAGGCUACACUGUCAAUAGCAAUUAUAUAAUCCUGUCAUUGGAGAAAAGGUUUUAUCCUUUCAAAACCUCGUUAUUCAAAUCUGACUAAUGGUAUAAUGGAAAAAAUAAGUCCCAAUGAGGUGAUAUAUAAAUUUAAACUAAAAUAUAUAAAGCAUUUCUAUUUUAUUUCUUACAUGUUUUUGUUGCUAUUUUAUCAGUGCCUUGUAACAAAGUAUUCAGACUGUCCUAACAGAUGCUGAAACAGCAAUAAUAAAUUAUGCUGAGAAAAGAGCUGCUCUGUGUUU